CUUGGUGGGGGUGGAGCCCUCAUGAACGAGCUCAGUGCGCCUAUAACAGGGACCUCAGAGAGCACCCUUGCCCCUUCCACCAUGCGAGGACACAGCAAGAAGAUGGCCAUCUAUGAACCAGAAAGUGGGCCCUCGCCAGACACCGGGUCUGCUGGUUGCUUGAUCUCAGACUUCCAGCCUCCAGGCUGUGAGAAUCGAUCCUUGUCCGCGAUCCUCCCUGGGGAACGCGUAACUUCCUGCGCAAGGCAGCUCACGUCGAUUCAAAGCGAUUCUCUGGAGAAGGAGGCCGUGUCAGUCAUUGGCAUCCAACACUCAAGCAACCGGGAGGUGCAGCCAUUGACUCAGAACAGGGCAUCUGAGUGGGGCCCCACGGCACCUGCUACGGCGCGCCCCUGGCCUGCUCGGGCUCACCGGCUUCUCUCAAUUCGUUUCCAGUUGCCCAGAAUCUGAAAACACAUCCCUGACAGAUGAGAUGGGCACUACGACGCUGCUGGGGGAGAGACACUGAGAUGCCACCUGGCACUGAGGUCCGGGUUUGGGGAGAUGGCCUCCCUCUGCCGGUGCUUCUCUGGCCUCUGUGCCUCCUGGAAGAUGCUCCCAGGCUCCGCCACCUGCGCCGAGAAUAAACUCUGAACCGAGAUGUCGCCCUUUUGUAUCUUCUAAGAGAAGGUCCUGUGGAUUCUCUUUAAAAGAAAAAAAAUGACAGGACAAGGGAAAGUGGGUAACUUUAGAAAGGCGAGUUGGCGGGUGUGUCUCUUCUUCGUGGAUGGCUCGAGGUUGCAGGGAGAGCUGCACAGAGCUGGGUCUGGGGGCUCUGAGGACCCCGGGGCCGCCAAAAGGCAGGCUCCAGGGAGGGAGGAAAGUCAAGAAGGUGAUGCUCUUUGUUACCCAUCAUGACACAUGUUUCUGUAGCGUCAAAUAGACGGAUACGCGUUG
This 936-nucleotide long non-coding RNA is filed under the name Equus caballus (horse). RNAcentral describes it as "lncRNA (ENSECAG00000047009.1)". Lineage: Eukaryota; Metazoa; Chordata; Mammalia; Perissodactyla; Equidae. The record is from RNAcentral.